ACGGAAGGCAGCAGUGGGGAAUAUUGCACAAUGGGCGAAAGCCUGAUGCAGCGACGCCGCGUGAGUGAAGAAGUAUCUCGGUAUGUAAAGCUCUAUCAGCAGGGAAGAAAAUGACGGUACCUGACUAAGAAGCCCCGGCUAACUACGUGCCAGCAGCCGCGGUAAUACGUAGGGGGCAAGCGUUAUCCGGAUUUACUGGGUGUAAAGGGAGCGUAGACGGUUUGGCAAGUCUGAAGUGAAAUGCGGGGGCUCAACUCCUGAACUGCUUUGGAAACUGUCGAACUAGAGUGCAGGAGAGGUAAGUGGAAUUCCUAGUGUAGCGGUGAAAUGCGUAGAUAUUAGGAGGAACACCAGUGGCGAAGGCGGCUUACUGGACUGUAACUGACAUUGAGGCUCGAAAGCGUGGGGAGCAAACAGGAUUAGAUACCCUGGUA
Molecule: ribosomal RNA, 434 nt
Filed under: uncultured Lachnospiraceae bacterium
Lineage: Bacteria; Bacillati; Bacillota; Clostridia; Lachnospirales; Lachnospiraceae
Description: partial 16S ribosomal RNA
Rfam family: Bacterial small subunit ribosomal RNA
Source: RNAcentral